Musa acuminata AAA Group (dessert banana) is the source of this 2542-nucleotide long non-coding RNA. RefSeq lists it as uncharacterized. The record is from RefSeq and is a predicted model, not a curated record. NCBI's taxonomy places the organism in Eukaryota, Viridiplantae, Streptophyta, Magnoliopsida, Zingiberales, Musaceae. The transcript is spliced from 4 exons.
AAGCCAUAAACGCCUUUCGAUCAAUCUUCUAAAUAGCUUUCUUAAUAGUAUUUAGUAUUUAAUAUGCUCGUCAUAAAUUUCACUCAACGUGAGCUUAAAAUAGCGUAUUCGAUUGCUCUCAUCUAAUGUCUUUCUAUGUUAAUUGAUAAGGUAUUCGGUAUUCACACGCCGGUCCGGCUUUAAGAGAAACUUGACACAGCAUUCGGUCCGUCCACGCGCGCACGGCGCUUGGCCUUUGGCCUCAGCCGCGCCAGAUCUGGUCACAUCAAUUAGUUUUGUCACCCAGGACGAUUGCCGACCAGGUGUUCGAUGGUUGGAGUGGAGUCCGGCCGACAUGCCGCCGACCUCCGCCUGCAUCCUUUCGCAGCCCAUCAACGUCCAGCCUUCUUCGCGAGACAAGCAAGCUCUGAUCGAUUUCGUCCUUCAGCCAUCACAUCGCAUCCUUGGUUUUAGUCUUCGGAUGGGGAUAGGUUUCGGUUUUCAUGCUGCUGUUUGAUUUCUGGAUCUCCUUGUUGCUGAGCACAGCUCUCGGCUUUUUGGUUGUCUUUGUGUUAAAAGAUAACUUACAGGUGGUAUCUGAUAGUAUUAUGAGGCAAUUGAACAUUACAAGGUUCCACAACGCAUGCUUUUAUCUUCUUCUGCUCGUAGAUUCCUGUGUUCAAAAUGCCAUUCAUUAUGUUCUCCUCAAGUUUCUUUUAUUCUUUGAGGUGGUUGUGCCAUGGAAUCUUUAUACUCGAUCCUCAAAUAAUUCGGUGGUGGUCACUCAAAUUCAGGCACCAAAAACAUGGAUAAUAUGUUUACACUGUGAACUCACUGUUGAUAAGCCCAAAGAAAUAUGUAUAACAGGUAAGAGUUAAAAGUAAUUCUAGCACAAGCAGGAUUGAAUCUGCAAAUAAUUUCAAAGAGAUGGUAUCAUGAGAUAGUAUCAAAGAUACCUGAGCUGAUUCUUCUGUUUAUAUUUUGGUCAAUUGCAUUCUGUGAGUUAAUUCUGGUUAGUGGUCACUAUGCUUUCUUAUAUGCUCUAUAUCCUGGCUUGUGUCAUUCUAUUAAUGUUCGUGGCAAAGGAGCUGAUACUCUUGGUGGUUGUUGUGUAUGUGCUUUUCCCAUUAGUUAAUUGUUCUUGUGCUUGUCCUUGACCUUAGUCCUUGUGCUUCUUUAUUACUCCUACUCCUAGAUACCUUUUUUGUGCUCUGAUGAUUUGUCUCAUGAUGUUAUGACAUUGGUUUCGACCAAACCAGAAAUGGAGUAGGUGGUGAUAACCAAAACAUCUACAGAUAUCAUAUCACCACAUUCAGUUUCCUUGCAUGAUCAUUAUUAAUGACAACAAAGUUCUCAGUAGGACUCAAAACAGCAUUGCUGUUAAUUUCGCUCUAGUGACUGGUACUUUGUCAGAUCAAGAGGAGGUAUGCAGGCAGGUGCCGCAAAUUUCUUGAAGGAAUUGCAGAUGAUGAUGAAAGUCUGAUAAGAGGUGCCGUUUUUUCAUUUUACUUCUUUUGAAAUAAUUUAGCCUAAUUUCACAAAGGUGGGACCUGAGCUUUUGCUAUCUAUCUGUUGGUGUUGCGAAGGAUGAGUUUCAUGUUCUUAAAUUCAAACAAAGAUGAGCCUUUAAGCACUUCUAGUUAUGUCUGUGAUCUGGCACUGCAACAGCCCUUGUACUAACAUUUUGUUGUGUUAUUUUGCAGUUUAGAUGGUGUCCUAUAGAUCGGUGAAUUUAUUGAACUAUAGUAAUCGAUUUGAUGUGAUGAAGAUGCAGAAAACCUUUUAAGUCAAAUAAAGCCAGAGACUCCAACUCGGUCUCCACGAUUGACCCAGUCGGUCCAUGUCAUUGUCAACUGCACGAACGGCCAAGAUCGCUUCAUCGAGCGACCCCGACAGUGUCACUUGUGAUCGGACGGGCAACAUCGGCCGAUGCCCCUCACCGAGCCGACGCGGCCGUUACCGACACGAACCGGCGCUGAAGAAGUGAAUAAAAAGACGCAAUCUCGUCGAAGCAACCGCGAGGCGUCGACCGGGAUCGCACGUGCGUGAGGUCCACGCAUGGCACGGGCGUUGAAGGUUGUGAGACAAGUGGGAGCCACGCACGUGCAAGGAACGCGGGACCUCCCGUGAAAUAAAAUAAACGCGCAACUCCAAAGUCUUCGUACCGGUUGGAGUCCACAUGUCCGCACGAGGGGUGCGGUCCAGCCUGGCCAGAACCCGGAGAAGGGUGUGAUUGGUAAGCCGUUGAGAGUAGUUCCCACGUGGGUGACGGAUAGCUCCCGAGCGUUACUUAUGGGUGUCGGUGUCGGUGUCGGUAGCCUCUGUCGAGGUGGAAGGUUAGUCCGAUCUAAUUCCGAGAUUUGACUGACUACUGCGUGAGAAGUAUUCCUGAAACAAGAGCGAAGGUGCAAACGUCUCUCCUCCUGGAGCAAGGCUUAUUACGUCGAGGGUGCCUCUUCUUGACGAGGUCAAGAUUCCUGUGAUACUGGAGUUGAAGAUUUUGAGAUGGAUUAAUGUGUAAUAGAAAGAUAGAUAAUAUAACCUGAUGCAACAUCAACCCCCU